RNAcentral lists this ribosomal RNA (253 nucleotides) under uncultured bacterium. Its description in RNAcentral is "partial 16S ribosomal RNA". It matches the Rfam family "Bacterial small subunit ribosomal RNA", at positions 524 to 776 of the family's 1533-position model. The record is from RNAcentral.
CACGUAGGGGGCGAGCGUUGUCCGGAUUCAUUGGGCGUAAAGCGCGCGCAGGCGGCUCGGAAAGUCGGAUGUGAAAACUCGGGGCUCAACCCCGGGCGUGCAUCCGAUACUGCCGGGCUUGAGGCAGGUAGGGGAGAUCGGAAUUCCUGGUGUAGCGGUGAAAUGCGCAGGUAUCAGGAGGAACACCGGUGGCGAAGGCGGAUCUCUGGGCCUGUCCUGACGCUGAGGCGCGAAAGCGUGGGGAGCAAACAGG